CUUGGUCAUUUAGAGGAAGUAAAAGUCGUAACAAGGUCUCCGUAGGUGAACCUGCGGAGGGAUCAUUACACAAAUAUGAAGGCGGGCUGGAACCUCUCGGGGUUACAGCCUUGCUGAAUUAUUCACCCUUGUCUUUUGCGUACUUCUUGUUUCCUUGGUGGGUUCGCCCACCACCAGGACCACACCAUAAACCUUUUUGUUAAUGCAAUCAGCGUCAGUAAAAAGUAAUAAUUAUUUUACAACUUUCAACAACGGAUCUCUUGGUUCUGGCAUCGAUGAAGAACGCAGCGAAAUGCGAUACGUAGUGUGAAUUGCAGAAUUCAGUGAAUCAUCGAAUCUUUGAACGCACAUUGCGCCCCCUGGUAUUCCGGGGGGCAUGCCUGUUCGAGCGUCAUUUCACCACUCAAGCCUCGCUUGGUAUUGGGCGACGCGGUCCGCCGCGCGCCUCAAAUCGACCGGCUGGGUCUUUCGUCCCCUCAGCGUUGUGGAAACUAUUCGCUAAAGGGUGCCGCGGGAGGCCACGCCGUAAAACAACCCCAUUUCUAAGGUUGACCUCGGAUCAGGUAGGGAUACCCGCUGAACUUAAGCAUAUCAAUAAGCGGAGGA
Molecule: ribosomal RNA, 606 nt
Filed under: uncultured fungus
Lineage: Eukaryota; Fungi
Description: eukaryotic LSU rRNA
Rfam family: 5.8S ribosomal RNA (bases 241-394)
Source: RNAcentral